GAUGAAGAACGUAGCAAAAUGCGAUACUUGGUGUGAAUUGCAGAAUCCCGUGAACCAUCGAGUUUUUGAACGCAAGUUGCGCCCGAAGCCUUUUGGUCGAGGGCACGUCUGCCUGGGCGUCACGCAUCGCGUCGCCCCCCACAAUUCUCCGUAAAGGGAACGUGUGUUUUGGGGGCGGAUAUUGGUCUCCCGUGCUCAUGGCGUGGUUGGCCGAAAUAGGAGUCCUUUCGAUGGACGCACGAACUAGUGGUGGUCGUAAAAACCCUCGUCUUUUGUUUCGUGCUGUUGCUCGCAAGGUAAACUCUUUAAAAACCCCAAUGUGUCGUCUCUUGACGACGCUUCGACCGCGACCCCAGGUCAGGCGGGACUACCCGCUGAGUUUAAGCAUAUCAAUAAGCGGAGGA
RNAcentral lists this unclassified non-coding RNA (404 nucleotides) under soil metagenome. RNAcentral's name for it is "partial contains 5.8S ribosomal RNA, internal transcribed spacer 2, and large subunit ribosomal RNA". The stretch from base 1 to 122 matches the Rfam family "5.8S ribosomal RNA", at positions 35 to 154 of the family's 154-position model. The record is from RNAcentral.